AUACGGAGGAUCCGAGCGUUAUCCGGAUUUAUUGGGUUUAAAGGGUGCGCAGGCGGCCAUUUAAGUCAGCGGUUAAAUCGUGGGGCUCAACCCCAUUCUGCCGUUGAUACUGGGUGGCUUGAUUGCGGUCGAGGUUGGCGGAAUUCGUUGUGUAGCGGUGAAAUGCAUAGAUAUGACGAAGAACACCGAUUGCGUAGGCAGCUGACCAGACCGCAAAUGACGCUCAUGCACGAAAGUGCGGGGAUCGAACAGGAUUAGAUACCCUGGUAGUCCGCACAGUAAACGAUGAUCACUAGCUGUUUGCGAUACACAGUAAGCGGCACAGCGAAAGCGUUAAGUGAUCCACCUGGGGAGUACGCCGGCAACGGUGAAACUCAAAUGAAUUGACGGGG
RNAcentral lists this ribosomal RNA (392 nucleotides) under uncultured bacterium. RNAcentral's name for it is "partial 16S ribosomal RNA". It matches the Rfam family "Bacterial small subunit ribosomal RNA", at positions 523 to 918 of the family's 1533-position model. The record is from RNAcentral.